Molecule: long non-coding RNA, 2448 nt
Filed under: Homo sapiens (human)
Lineage: Eukaryota; Metazoa; Chordata; Mammalia; Primates; Hominidae
Description: HSALNT0308748
Source: RNAcentral
CAACCCUCCCACCUCGGCGCCUCAAAGUACUGGGAUUACAGAUAUCAAGGCUUUAAGCAAGAUUCAGAUGAAGGGCCUGCUUUACCAGCUCACCUAUGAAUAUGGAAGCAUCAGCUUACUUUUUGCAGCACAUGUGUCUCAGGGGGUUGUCCCUUCCCACAGUGUGUAGAUUGGCAUCGAGAUGACGUUCUCUCUCCAGGGUGCAGUGAUGACCGACAUAUGCAGUGACAUGGUAGCCUGUCACCUGGCCGGAGAUGGCAUGGGAGAUGGAAACGGGACCAAGCUGAGCCAGUGAGGCUCCUGCCUGAAGUUUUUACUGGAAAUGGGAGGACACACAUGUUCUCUUUCACUACUGUUCUUAAGCUGGCAGGGGGUAAAGCAAGCUCAUGGAGGUCAGUCAUCAAUGGCACCAUCAGCAGAGACCCCGCUGAAGCACGAAGCCAGUGCAUGGGAAGGCACGCGGAGCAAGAGGGAGUCCGGGCGCCAUUGCUGGAGCAGCCCCUGAAGCCGGUGGGUCCUGGGACUGUUCCAUUGUGUGGGCCAUUUUUGCUUGAGUUGGACUUUUUUCUUACAACUAAAAUGCAGCCCUAAAUAAUACAGUCACUUUCUUUUUUAUAUUAGAAUUUAAAUAUUUUAGACAUAUUUCUCUGUUUAAGCACAUAUGCCCCUUAAUACCUAACACAAUACCAGUGACUACCUCCUUACAGAAUCACUGAAUCUUGCUUUCAUAUGAGAAAGUGAACAGUUUCCACUCCUGUCUUAAAUGUUUCAUUUAGCACUUGAGAAUAGAAUAAGUGUCGCACAUGAAAGGUUUCAUGUGCAUAAAUAAUGAGAAGAUGCUGAAGUGAGACCAAAAUCAACUUCCCAGCAAAUUCAUUCUCCAUCACACAAUUUCAUACCAGAAUGACUGAGUUCUAAGGUCAUACAAUCACAGUCGUUGUAAGUGUUAAUGGGAGAGAGAGAGAGAGAGAGACAGAGAGAGAUACUGAAUUCAAUCUAAAUUCCAAUCUCCAAUUCUCCUCCAUCAGAAUUGGGAGCACCUCCCUCCCCAUGUAAUCACUGGGGGUGAAACAAGAUCAUAGUAGUUUCCAUGGGCUGCCCCUGGUGGAGCCAAGACAGGCCCCUGAACACCCCUGCUGCCAGAUUAAUUUUCCCAAAGACUAUUUUCCAUCAUGUUUCUUUGCAUCUUGGAUACCUGUAAUUGGUUAAUGCAUUUGGCAUUAACCAAUGAGUCUCACCCUUGAGUGUGAAGCAUGCCCCUCACCCACCAGGAUUUGGGGAGUUGCUGGGAGGGCAUGUCUUCGUUGAAAACAAAGGGCUGUCACAUUCCAUUGCUUUUGAGUUACACAUAAUUUCAUUUUGAAAUUUGAAAUCAUAUUAGAGAAAGGCUUAUUAUUUUUUGUUAUACUGGGCAUAUUUUAGAAAUGGUUGAGAAGUACUGGCUUAAAUAAUGGGUUGCCAAGGCCCUCCAUAAGCCACUUCUUCCCAUCUAUUUUCUUACCAGAAGACAGCAGGCAGAGGGUUGGCUCACCAAAGCCCACCUGGGCCAGCUCCUUUCUAUCCCAGGGGGUGUGUCUCUCUGCUUUCUCCCCUCCCAACUAAACCUUAGUCAUCGUAAACCUCAGCCAGUUCAUGCUUCUCUUUCUUGCUAAUUCCAGCCUACCCAGAACUGUAUUUGUCAGACCCACUUAGAACUUAAUUAGCUUGACUUUGAAAUGUAUGCUAAUUUAACAUCUUCAACUAUAUCAUUAAGAGCCAAGCCAUUUCUCAUUUCCUCUGUUUUUCCUAUACUACUUAGCACAGUGCUAGACCUAUAACAAGCAUCUGUUCUGAAUCAAGAGAGAGGUUAAAAGAAGUGGCAUUUUCUUACAUCUGAGAUAUUAUUCAAAAUAUUUAACAACGUUGCCAUGGGACACCUGUCCAUCAGAAUGGAGUUGGAGGCCUAGAGCUACACUGCACUUAACACUUUGCUGAAAAAUAGAAGCAGCCUGAGAAUAGUAGGGGAGGGGAGGGUCUCAGGCUGCCCAGGAUGGGGAGAACCGGCUGAAAUGAAACACAUUCUAUUUACCACUAAUUAAUUUGAAUAGUAUCUCUGCUUCACUAUUUUUCAGUGUAAAUAGUAUCUCUGACAUGCUAGGGAGCUUAGGAAAAUGAUUCUAACAUCAUAUAAAUGACAGGUGUUGCUAUUAAGAAUGACUCAAGACUUGUGUUUUUGGUACUCUACAUGCCAUUCAUUCAUUCUUUCUACUAAGAGUAAUAGAAAGAAUGAAUGGCAUGUAAGGUAGACAUAGAGCUGCUCUAGAGCUCUAUGUCAGCAGUUGUAUGCCAACAGGAAAUGUGGUAUUUUAAUACUUCCGAAGGGUCUCUGCCCCUCCUGUGUGUACGACACAUCCUUGCAGGAGCCCACCCUUUAUCUUAUCUAACUUGUAGGGAGCCUGGCACAUCCAG